Pelobates cultripes (western spadefoot toad) is the source of this 496-nucleotide non-coding RNA. Lineage: Eukaryota; Metazoa; Chordata; Amphibia; Anura; Pelobatidae. The record is from the annotation of a GenBank genome assembly.
CCUGUGAAAAUAGUUGUAGUAGAAAUAUCUGCUCCAGUAGUGUGAGAUAUAGCUAUUCCAGGUGAAGUAACAGUUGUGGUAGUUGAGGAAAACGUUGUGGGAGAAGUUUCAAAAACUGUUGUUUGGGGAGCAGUUGUGGUUGUUUGGGGUGCAGUGGUGGUUGUUUGUUGUACAAUUGAGGUUGUUUGUGGUACAGUGGUGGUUGUUUGGGGAGCAGUUGUGGUUGUUUGGGGUACAGUGGUGGUUAUUUGAGGUACAGUGGUGGUUGUUUGGGGUGCAGCUGUGGUUGUUUGGGGAGCAUUGGUGGUUGUUUGGGGUGCAGUUGAGGUUGUUUGGGCUUCAGUUGUGGUUGUUUGGGGUUCAGUUGUGGUUGUUUGGGGAUCAGCGGUGGUUGUUUGGGGAGCAGUUGUGGUUGUUUGGGGUGCAGUUGUGGUUGUUUGGGCUUCAGUUGUGGUUGUUUGGGGAGCAGCGGUGGUUGUUUGGGGAGCAGUUGUGG